RNAcentral lists this long non-coding RNA (536 nucleotides) under Glycine max (soybean). RNAcentral's name for it is "long non-coding RNA (GMAX_LNC004660)". The record is from RNAcentral. Lineage: Eukaryota; Viridiplantae; Streptophyta; Magnoliopsida; Fabales; Fabaceae.
UUGAAAAUAACUGAUGAAUAUUUGGCUGGAAGCACUAUAUUCAAAACAAAUGGUAGUCCAACUCACGUCCAGUUACUCCCAGCAAAGCUCAAAUGAGAAAAUAAGGCUUCAUAAUAUCGAUUAAUUUUUCUUUACAAUCCUUCGAGGAAACAACAGGCCAAGUGAACUUUGAUUUUCAAGAAAUCGUAACAUCAGAGCACUCGUGCUAAGAAAAAUUAUAUUUUGAUGAAGCAGUACCGGUUACACCGAAAGGAGCCAUCAAAUUAGAGCAUGCUAAUACUAAGAUUUGGUUAACACAUAAAAAUAUCAUCGAGGAGCACCAUAAACUUGGGUUGAGUCGUAUUGGGGAUAAGCAGCAGGCUGGGGCGACAAUGUUUUGCCAUACGCAGCCGGAGCACUUGCCGGGACAGCUGCAUAACCAGCUGGUUGCGUGUUAGACUGUUCAUAACCAGUUUGAGUGGGAGUGGGUUGAACAUAACCUGGCUGCCCACUUGGUUGUGCUGUACUAUAUGCUGGUGCAGCACCAGUGCUAUAAC